GUGAGCAGUCUUUGCCAGAAGACCAAGGUACGCCUGACCAGGCUUUGUCUGAAGGACAUUGUAGCACUGAACGGCUUCUGCCAGAAGGGCACUGCAGCACGAGAAUAUACUCUAUGAAACAUUCCAAAGCAAAAGAAAACAUCAAACCAAAAGGCACACGAAGAAUAUGAGCAAGCUCCAUGUGCGGCGAAGAAACAAGAAUUUGAGAGGCAAAAACAAGAGACAGGAGAACCUGCAAAGCGCUACCAACACAAGAAAUGGAAGUGUUCAAAUGCUGAGUCAGAAGACUCAAAACGGACAAAUUUGAAUUUACAAAGGGAGUAUUUUCUGAAAAAAUACUGGAAAAGAUUAAAGGGUAAAGAUUUGGGGUAAAAAUAUGAACUUCGUAUUGAGUAUUUUUGUAUGGGGGACUGUCCUCCUACAUGUAACUAAAUUUGUCAACAUAAACUGGGUUGGAAAGUUAUAGGGGGAAACACACACAAACAAAACAGGUGUAGGAGUCAUGCCGUUUCAAAUCCUUUCAUUCUCGUUCAUAGUUCAGCUGAUCGUCGUCCUUGAGACGCGACAAGGACGUCAAGCAUCCUUCAGCAAAUCGUUGCCAAGUCGUGCCAAAUGCCGUUUAAACCGGAUUUGCCCGCAUUGCUUCAUCACGUUCUUUCUUAAAGCAGUACGACAUCUUGGGUGCAACGGAAACGAGAAACCAGUUUCUCGUAGCACCAGCAGUCUUUCCUGUCCAAAAUGCAAACUAGGUUUCACUGCCCGCAGACAAAUCAGUUCAAUGAAUUCCUUUAACACGUCUUGGUAGGGUGAUUCAUUUGGCAGAAAGAGCAUCAUCUUACCCUCGAGAUAAAUCCACACAAGGUGCCUUAGGAAGCGCAGGAGGAGGUCUCGUAUAAGGAAAUCGUUCUGGCUCUCCCGCCAAACAUAAUGAAUAUCGCCUUGCUUUCGGUCAGGCGGUGGCUGGGACUUAAUUGACAGGGGUGCCUGAGCGUCUCCGCAGAGAGGCCAGGGUCACUACAGACAGAAGCUGAAAGUCGUUCACUGCUCUCCUAGUGAGGAGGAGGGCCCGCGCAGGGUGCAGGGACCCAGGGAAGCCGCAGGUUUUUAAAGCGCUGUGGAAGUUUGAGGGGGGCGUGUCGAAGCCUGAGCUGACAUCUGGUGGUUUGGGGAAAAAAGUUCUGCAGGAAGGGGCAGAGGUGUGGGCCAAGCCAGCUGCUGCAUAUCCCUUUUUGAAUAAGCCGAGCGUGUUGGAGCUCUGGAGGUGGUCUCUGAGAAGCCGGGGACCGGGACCGUGGGCACAUGGGCUACGUGUGUGUGAGAAUCAAAUCUGGACGCACUCGUGUCUCGAGAGGGCUGAAAAGCUUGCUAGGGGUAGUGUCAUUGCACCCGAAUCCUUGGGCACGUUGUGGCCAUCAGAAGCCGUGCAGGGACUCCAGAUGGCGGGAGACACCGUUCCCGAAGCUCCUUGAGUGCAGGCGUCUCUGAGGGCGCUGACGGGACUGUCUGUUGACUCUGAUGUGGAAGGGAGAUGUGUACGUGAGCACUGUGUUGCUUCAGAACCCCAGGAAAGGACCAGAAGGCGUGAGACGUCUGUGUCCUUCGCACAUGAAACGUGCUUCCACUGCAUCUCCUUGAAGGCGGAUGUCAUCCUGAAACCUCACGCUGCUGUCGGAAGAAGUGUGGUGGGUGCGGCUGCUCCGCUCUCAAACAAGCAGACCGGCCAGGUUGGCGGAAAGAAGGAAAG
Molecule: long non-coding RNA, 1744 nt
Filed under: Bos indicus x Bos taurus (hybrid cattle)
Lineage: Eukaryota; Metazoa; Chordata; Mammalia; Artiodactyla; Bovidae
Description: lncRNA (ENSBIXG00005025080.1)
Source: RNAcentral